GGAAACUGAGGAUAAUACCGGAUAGGCAAUUUUUCCUGUAAUGGUUUUUUGUUUAAAUGUUUUUUUCGCCUAAGGAUGGGUCUGCGGCCGAUUAGGUAGUUGGUUAGGUAAUGGCUUACCAAGCCGUUGAUCGGUACGGGUUGUGAGAGCAAGAGCCCGGAGAUGGAACCUGAGACAAGGCUCCAGGCCCUACGGGGUGCAGCAGGCGCGAAACCUCCGCAAUGUGAGAAAUCGCGACGGGGGGAUCCCAAGUGCCAUUCUUAACGGGAUGGCUUUUCAUUAGUGUAAAGAGCUUUUGGAAUAAGAGCUGGGCAAGACCGGUGCCAGCCGCCGCGGUAACACCGGCAGCUCUAGUGGUAACAAUUUUUAUUGGGCCUAAAGCGUCCGUAGCCGGUUUAAUAAGUCUCUGGUGAAAUCCUGUAGCUUAACUGUGGGAAUUGCUGGAGAUACUAUUAGACUUGAGACCGGGAGAGGUUAGAGGUACUCCCAGGGUAGAGGUGAAAUUCUGUAAUCCUGGGAGGACCGCCUGUUGCGAAGGCGUCUAACUGGAACGGUUCUGACGGUGAGGGACGAAAGUUAGGGGCGCGAACCGGAUUAGAUACCCGGGUAGUCCUAACUGUAAACGAUGCGGACUUGGUGUUGGGGUGGCUUUGAGCUGCUCCAGUGCCGAAGGGAAGCUGUUAAGUCCGCCGCCUGGGAAGUACGGUCGCAAGACUGAAACUUAA
This 725-nucleotide ribosomal RNA is filed under the name uncultured archaeon. RNAcentral describes it as "bacterial SSU rRNA". It matches the Rfam family "Archaeal small subunit ribosomal RNA", at positions 135 to 859 of the family's 1478-position model. The record is from RNAcentral.